ACCAAGACAAUGACGCGUAGCGGGUUUGAGAGGAUGAUCCGCCACACUGGUACUGAGACACGGACCAGACUCCUACGGGAGGCAGCAGUGAGGAAUAUUGCACAAUGGGGGAAACCCUGAUGCAGCAACGCCGCGUGGAGGAUGACGCAUUUCGGUGUGUAAACUCCUUUUAUGAGUCAAGAAAAUGACGGUAGCUCAUGAAUAAGCACCGGCUAACUCCGUGCCAGCAGCCGCGGUAAUACGGAGGGUGCAAGCGUUACUCGGAAUCACUGGGCGUAAAGGACGCGUAGGCGGGUUAUCAAGUCAGGUGUGAAAUCCUAUGGCUCAACCAUAGAACUGCACUUGAAACUGGUAACCUAGAGUAUGGGAGGGGCAGAUGGAAUUAGUAGUGUANGGGGUAAAAUCCGUAGAUAUUACUAGGAAUACCGAAAGCGAAGGCGAUCUGCUGGAACAUUACUGACGCUAAGGCGUGAAAGCGUGGGGAGCAAACGGGAUUAGAUACCCCGGUAGUCCACGCCCUAAACGAUGAACACUAGUCGUCGGGGAGCUAGUCUCUUCGGUGAUGCACUUAACAGAUUAAGUGUUCCGCCUGGGGAGUACGGUCGCAAGAUUAAAACUCAAAGGAAUAGACGGGGACCCGCACAAGUGGUGGAGCAUGUGGUUUAAUUCGAAGAUACGCGAAGAACCUUACCUAGCCUUGACAUUGAUAGAACACCGUAGAGAUACAGUGGUGCCCUUCGGGGAACUUGAAAACAGGUGCUGCACGGCUGUCGUCAGCUCGUGUCGUGAGAUGUUGGGUUAAGUCCCGCAACGAGCGCAACCCUCGUCCUUAGUUGCCAGCAGGUUAAGCUGGGCACUCUAAGGAGACUGCCUUCGCAAGGAGGAGGAAGGUGAGGACGACGUCAAGUCAUCAUGGCCCUUAUGGCUAGGGCUACACACGUGCUACAAUGGGGCGUACAGAGAGUUGCGAUACCGCGAGGUGGAGCCAAUCUCAUAAAGCGUCUCUCAGUUCGGAUUGGAGUCUGCAACUCGACUCCAUGAAGCUGGAAUCACUAGUAAUCGUAGAUCAGCAAUGCUACGGUGAAUACGUUCCCGGGUCUUGUACUCACCGCCCGUCACACCAUGGGAGUUGAUUUCACCCGAAAUUGGGAAGCUAACCUUCGGGGGGCUACCACUUACGGUGGAAUUAGCGACUGGGGUGAAGUCGUAACAAGGUAACCGUAGGAGAAC
This 1230-nucleotide ribosomal RNA is filed under the name uncultured Sulfurimonas sp. Its description in RNAcentral is "bacterial SSU rRNA". It matches the Rfam family "Bacterial small subunit ribosomal RNA", at positions 267 to 1511 of the family's 1533-position model. The record is from RNAcentral. Lineage: Bacteria; Pseudomonadati; Campylobacterota; Epsilonproteobacteria; Campylobacterales; Sulfurimonadaceae.